Molecule: ribosomal RNA, 617 nt
Filed under: Staphylococcus aureus
Lineage: Bacteria; Bacillati; Bacillota; Bacilli; Caryophanales; Staphylococcaceae
Description: partial 23S ribosomal RNA
Rfam family: Bacterial large subunit ribosomal RNA
Source: RNAcentral
UUGUGUCUUCGAGUCGUUGAUUUCACACUGCCGAGAAAAGCCUCUAGAUAGAAAAUAGGUGCCCGUACCGCAAACCGACACAGGUAGUCAAGAUGAGAAUUCUAAGGUGAGCGAGCGAACUCUCGUUAAGGAACUCGGCAAAAUGACCCCGUAACUUCGGGAGAAGGGGUGCUCUUUAGGGUUAACGCCCAGAAGAGCCGCAGUGAAUAGGCCCAAGCGACUGUUUAUCAAAAACACAGGUCUCUGCUAAACCGUAAGGUGAUGUAUAGGGGCUGACGCCUGCCCGGUGCUGGAAGGUUAAGAGGAGUGGUUAGCUUCUGCGAAGCUACGAAUCGAAGCCCCAGUAAACGGCGGCCGUAACUAUAACGGUCCUAAGGUAGCGAAAUUCCUUGUCGGGUAAGUUCCGACCCGCACGAAAGGCGUAACGAUUUGGGCACUGUCUCAACGAGAGACUCGGUGAAAUCAUAGUACCUGUGAAGAUGCAGGUUACCCGCGACAGGACGGAAAGACCCCGUGGAGCUUUACUGUAGCCUGAUAUUGAAAUUCGGCACAGCUUGUACAGGAUAGGUAGGAGCCUUUGAAACGUGAGCGCUAGCUUACGUGGAGGCGCUGGUGGG